GACGAACGCUGGCGGCGUGCUUAACACAUGCAAGUCGAACGGAAAGGCCCUGCUUUUGUGGGGUGCUCGAGUGGCGAACGGGUGAGUAACACGUGAGUAACCUGCCCUUGACUUUGGGAUAACUUCAGGAAACUGGGGCUAAUACCGGAUAGGAGCUCCUGCUGCAUGGUGGGGGUUGGAAAGUUUCGGCGGUUGGGGAUGGACUCGCGGCUUAUCAGCUUGUUGGUGGGGUAGUGGCUUACCAAGGCUUUGACGGGUAGCCGGCCUGAGAGGGUGACCGGCCACAUUGGGACUGAGAUACGGCCCAGACUCCUACGGGAGGCAGCAGUGGGGAAUAUUGCACAAUGGGCGGAAGCCUGAUGCAGCAACGCCGCGUGCGGGAUGACGGCCUUCGGGUUGUAAACCGCUUUCGCCCGUGACGAAGCGUGAGUGACGGUAAUGGGUAAAGAAGCACCGGCUAACUACGUGCCAGCAGCCGCGGUGAUACGUAGGGUGCGAGCGUUGUCCGGAUUUAUUGGGCGUAAAGGGCUCGUAGGUGGUUGAUCGCGUCGGAAGUGUAAUCUUGGGGCUUAACCCUGAGCGUGCUUUCGAUACGGGUUGACUUGAGGAAGGUAGGGGAGAAUGGAAUUCCUGGUGGAGCGGUGGAAUGCGCAGAUAUCAGGAGGAACACCAGUGGCGAAGGCGGUUCUCUGGGCCUUUCCUGACGCUGAGGAGCGAAAGCGUGGGGAGCGAACAGGCUUAGAUACCCUGGUAGUCCACGCUGUAAACGGUGGGUACUAGGUGUGGGGUCCAUUCCACGGGUUCCGUGCCGUAGCUAACGCUUUAAGUACCCCGCCUGGGGAGUACGGCCGCAAGGCUAAAACUCAAAGGAAUUGACGGGGCCCCGCACAAGCGGCGGAGCAUGCGGAUUAAUUCGAUGCAACGCGUAGAACCUUACCUGGGUUUGACAUGGAUCGGGAGUGCUCAGAGAUGGGUGUGCCUCUUUUGGGGUCGGUUCACAGGUGGUGCAUGGCUGUCGUCAGCUCGUGUCGUGAGAUGUUGGGUUAGGUCCCGCAACGAGCGCAACCCUUGUUCACUGUUGCCAGCACGUUAUGGUGGGGACUCAGUGGAGACCGCCGGGGUCAACUCGGAGGAAGGUGGGGAUGACGUCAAGUCAUCAUGCCCCUUAUGUCCAGGGCUUCACGCAUGCUACAAUGGCUGGUACAGAGAGUGGCGAGCCUGUGAGGGUGAGCGAAUCUCGGAAAGCCGGUCUCAGUUCGGAUUGGGGUCUGCAACUCGACCUCAUGAAGUCGGAGUCGCUAGUAAUCGCAGAUCAGCAACGCUGCGGUGAAUACGUUCCCGGGGCU
Molecule: ribosomal RNA, 1346 nt
Filed under: uncultured bacterium
Lineage: Bacteria
Description: partial 16S ribosomal RNA
Rfam family: Bacterial small subunit ribosomal RNA
Source: RNAcentral